CUCUUCUCUUCUCUCUUGCUCUCUUCUCUCUCUCUCAAGGAUGAACUCCAACCGGAGUUCUUCAUGUUCUUCAUUUUCCGGCGACUGGCCGCCGUGAUUCUCAGAUUCCGGCAAACCACCGCCACCCUCCGCCGGAACCACCGCCACCCUCCGCCGAACCACCGCGCCGGAAUCAUAACCACCCAAAAAAAUCCCAAAAUUUACCUAGAAACCUUAUUUUUCGUGAUUUAAACACGAAUCAACGUUAAAGGUGCAAAAAACAACAAUGAACAGUGUUAAUAAAAGGUUAAGGAUGUUGGUGGAGGCAGAGGCAAGGUGCACUGUUAAAUUAGUUUUUUUUUGUGUAAUUUUUCUUCUCUGUGUGUAAAACAAAAUCUCUCUUUUGCUCUGAUUGGGUCUCAAUUUAUAGAUCAAGUGAAUGAAUUUGUUUAAUGUAAAAAACCUCCAGAUUUACAAUUUUUAUUGUUUUUAAUCUGAUCAAUUUGUGUUGAGAAGAACAAAAAAAAAUAGUGAUGGUGAUGAAUGAAUGAAUCUGUGGUUGUUUUUCUCUGUUCUAUUCUCUAUGUUUGCUUUCCAUAUAUUGUAACUCAAAAUAUAGUAUAAUUUUCAAUUUCUGCAUCCAAUAUUACAUA
Molecule: long non-coding RNA, 632 nt
Organism: Trifolium pratense (red clover)
Lineage: Eukaryota; Viridiplantae; Streptophyta; Magnoliopsida; Fabales; Fabaceae
Exons: 2
Source: RefSeq, a predicted model, not a curated record